CGGGGCUGCGCGUGACCCCCCCACAGGGCGCCAUGUCUAACCCCGGGGCUCCGCCUCUCUCGCCGUCACAGACCCCAAACAUCUUCUCAGCCUUUAGAGCUCUUAACAGUACCCACAGACUCUUUCAUAGCUUCCAGAGCCCCUCAAAGUCCGCACAGCCCCCACAGAUUCUCUCAUAGCGUCUUCAGAACCCUCACAGCCCCCAGAGACACCUUCACUGCCCCCUCAUCCCCCACUUCCUGUGCUGGCAGAGGCAGCGCGAUGAUGUUGACAUGCAGUGGGUUGUUUAUUUUCGAUACACUGCUGUGUCACUGCACCCUUGUCACGGGUUCGGGAUGGCCCGGUGCCAGUCGCAGUGGGGUUUGGUGGGGUGACCGUCCACGUUACUCCUGUGACUGCUGUGCAAUCCUUUGCCUGUGGGAUCCGAGCAGGCCACUGACACAAUUCGUAGGUUUUAGAUCAAAAUACGAUGAGUGAAGAGCAAAUUCGUUCUGUUUCACAGUUGAUGAGCACUUGUGUGCCAUAAAAAUCUCCGCUCCAUCUAGAUUAAUUGUAUUGAUAGACUACAGCGCUGGAUGUUAUCACAUGUACGGCUGCCCCACCAUUUCAGAGGCAAUGUUGGAGGGUGUGGAGCCACUUUCAGGCCUCUACCCACCUCCCCAACACUUUCUUCCUCUCGUAAUUAAUUCCUCCUUCUGCCAGCUCACCCAUGUCCUCACAGAGGACACUGUCCAAGUUGGUGGUGGCAGCCGAGAACCCAAGGCAUGUUCCUGUGCUCCUGUGGGGGUGCUUGAACUGCAGGGCAGGGCAGGGUGUUGGCCACUGAUGCUGUUCCUGGUGCCUUCUCAUUCUUAAUAAAAGUGUCCCUGGCAAAGGUAUGUUUUAUUUGAGUUAGGAGUUUGUGUGUACCAGUCAUGUCAAGUGUAAAAAUAAUCCUUUUCCCGUAAUACAACUGCAAAGAUCAUUUCCCUAGCCAGUAAUUUUGACCACACGUCUCUUUACUUUCUGUCUUGAUUUGCUUUCAAGGUCAUUCUUGGACUACCUCACCUAUGAUUCAUUAUGAGAUGACAACUCUCAACAAUCCCUGACACCAACUUCCACCACCCACUUGUUUUGGUUUUGGAUAAAUAGCUCUAUGUUUUCUUUCAUUCUGCCUCUCAGAAACUAAAGAGAAGUCAAGAUCCCCUCCACAUGUCUCUUGAUCUUCACCAGACUUGAAGAACCUGUAGUUCUUAGAGCUGGAGAGAAAAACUGGCUCAAACUGUUGCAGUAAUAGUAAUUAAAGUACUGUCCUGGGUUGCAGUGUAUUCUAUUACCAUCCUCAUGAGCUGUUGAAACCAGGUGGGACAGUGUUUCCUU
This is a long non-coding RNA of Corvus hawaiiensis (hawaiian crow), 1359 nucleotides long. RefSeq lists it as uncharacterized. The record is from RefSeq and is a predicted model, not a curated record. The transcript has 3 exons. Lineage: Eukaryota; Metazoa; Chordata; Aves; Passeriformes; Corvidae.